This 2926-nucleotide ribosomal RNA is filed under the name Salmonella enterica subsp. enterica serovar Newport. RNAcentral's name for it is "bacterial LSU rRNA". It matches the Rfam family "Bacterial large subunit ribosomal RNA". Lineage: Bacteria; Pseudomonadati; Pseudomonadota; Gammaproteobacteria; Enterobacterales; Enterobacteriaceae. The record is from RNAcentral.
GGGUUGUGAGGUUAAGCGACUAAGCGUACACGGUGGAUGCCCUGGCAGUCAGAGGCGAUGAAGGGCGUGCUAAUCUGCGAUAAGCGCCGGUAAGGUGAUAUGAACCGUUAUAACCGGCGAUACCCGAAUGGGGAAACCCAGUGUGAUUCGUCACACUAUCAUUACGUGAAUACAUAGCGUAAUGAAGCGAACCGGGGGAACUGAAACAUCUAAGUACCCCGAGGAAAAGAAAUCAACCGAGAUUCCCCCAGUAGCGGCGAGCGAACGGGGAGGAGCCCAGAGCCUGAAUCAGCAUGUGUGUUAGUGGAAGCGUCUGGAAAGGCGCGCGAUACAGGGUGACAGCCCCGUACACAAAAGCGCAUGUGUUGUGAGCUCGAUGAGUAGGGCGGGACACGUGGUAUCCUGUCUGAAUAUGGGGGGACCAUCCUCCAAGGCUAAAUACUCCUGACUGACCGAUAGUGAACCAGUACCGUGAGGGAAAGGCGAAAAGAACCCCGGCGAGGGGAGUGAAAAAGAACCUGAAACCGUGUACGUACAAGCAGUGGGAGCACCCUUUGGGGUGUGACUGCGUACCUUUUGUAUAAUGGGUCAGCGACUUAUAUUCUGUAGCAAGGUUAACCGAAUAGGGGAGCCGGAGGGAAACCGAGUCUUAAUUGGGCGUUAAGUUGCAGGGUAUAGACCCGAAACCCGGUGAUCUAGCCAUGGGCAGGUUGAAGGUUGGGUAACACUAACUGGAGGACCGAACCGACUAAUGUUGAAAAAUUAGCGGAUGACCUGUGGCUGGGGGUGAAAGGCCAAUCAAACCGGGAGAUAGCUGGUUCUCCCCGAAAGCUAUUUAGGUAGCGCCUCGUGAAUUCAUCUCCGGGGGUAGAGCACUGUUUCGGCUAGGGGGCCAUCCCGGCUUACCAACCCGAUGCAAACUGCGAAUACCGGAGAAUGUUAUCACGGGAGACACACGGCGGGUGCUAACGUCCGUCGUGAAGAGGGAAACAACCCAGACCGCCAGCUAAGGUCCCAAAGUCAUGGUUAAGUGGGAAACGAUGUGGGAAGGCCCAGACAGCCAGGAUGUUGGCUUAGAAGCAGCCAUCAUUUAAAGAAAGCGUAAUAGCUCACUGGUCGAGUCGGCCUGCGCGGAAGAUGUAACGGGGCUAAACCAUGCACCGAAGCUGCGGCAGCGACACUGUGUGUUGUUGGGUAGGGGAGCGUUCUGUAAGCCUGUGAAGGUGUGUCGUGAGGCAUGCUGGAGGUAUCAGAAGUGCGAAUGCUGACAUAAGUAACGAUAAAGCGGGUGAAAAGCCCGCUCGCCGGAAGACCAAGGGUUCCUGUCCAACGUUAAUCGGGGCAGGGUGAGUCGACCCCUAAGGCGAGGCCGAAAGGCGUAGUCGAUGGGAAACGGGUUAAUAUUCCCGUACUUGGUGUUACUGCGAAGGGGGGACGGAGAAGGCUAUGUUGGCCGGGCGACGGUUGUCCCGGUUUAAGCGUGUAGGUGUGUGUUCCAGGUAAAUCCGGUUCACUUUAACACUGAGGCGUGACGACGAGGCACUACGGUGCUGAAGCAACAAAUGCCCUGCUUCCAGGAAAAGCCUCUAAGCAUCAGGUAACAUCAAAUCGUACCCCAAACCGACACAGGUGGUCAGGUAGAGAAUACCAAGGCGCUUGAGAGAACUCGGGUGAAGGAACUAGGCAAAAUGGUGCCGUAACUUCGGGAGAAGGCACGCUGACACGUAGGUGAAGUGAUUUACUCAUGGAGCUGAAGUCAGUCGAAGAUACCAGCUGGCUGCAACUGUUUAUUAAAAACACAGCACUGUGCAAACACGAAAGUGGACGUAUACGGUGUGACGCCUGCCCGGUGCCGGAAGGUUAAUUGAUGGGGUCAGCGCAAGCGAAGCUCCUGAUCGAAGCCCCGGUAAACGGCGGCCGUAACUAUAACGGUCCUAAGGUAGCGAAAUUCCUUGUCGGGUAAGUUCCGACCUGCACGAAUGGCGUAAUGAUGGCCAGGCUGUCUCCACCCGAGACUCAGUGAAAUUGAACUCGCUGUGAAGAUGCAGUGUACCCGCGGCAAGACGGAAAGACCCCGUGAACCUUUACUAUAGCUUGACACUGAACAUUGAGCCUUGAUGUGUAGGAUAGGUGGGAGGCUUUGAAGUGUGGACGCCAGUCUGCAUGGAGCCGACCUUGAAAUACCACCCUUUAAUGUUUGAUGUUCUAACGUGGACCCGUGAUCCGGGUUGCGGACAGUGUCUGGUGGGUAGUUUGACUGGGGCGGUCUCCUCCUAAAGAGUAACGGAGGAGCACGAAGGUUGGCUAAUCCUGGUCGGACAUCAGGAGGUUAGUGCAAUGGCAUAAGCCAGCUUGACUGCGAGCGUGACGGCGCGAGCAGGUGCGAAAGCAGGUCAUAGUGAUCCGGUGGUUCUGAAUGGAAGGGCCAUCGCUCAACGGAUAAAAGGUACUCCGGGGAUAACAGGCUGAUACCGCCCAAGAGUUCAUAUCGACGGCGGUGUUUGGCACCUCGAUGUCGGCUCAUCACAUCCUGGGGCUGAAGUAGGUCCCAAGGGUAUGGCUGUUCGCCAUUUAAAGUGGUACGCGAGCUGGGUUUAGAACGUCGUGAGACAGUUCGGUCCCUAUCUGCCGUGGGCGCUGGAGAACUGAGGGGGGCUGCUCCUAGUACGAGAGGACCGGAGUGGACGCAUCACUGGUGUUCGGGUUGUCAUGCCAAUGGCACUGCCCGGUAGCUAAAUGCGGAAGAGAUAAGUGCUGAAAGCAUCUAAGCACGAAACUUGCCCCGAGAUGAGUUCUCCCUGAGACUUAGAGUCUCCUGAAGGAACGUUGAAGACGACGACGUUGAUAGGCCGGGUGUGUAAGCGCAGCGAUGCGUUGAGCUAACCGGUACUAAUGAACCGUGAGGCUUAACCUUACAACGCCGAAG